UACGGAGGAUGCGAGCGUUAUCCGGAUCUAUUGGGUUUAAAGGGUGCGUAGGCGGGCUUUUAAGUCAGCGGUAAAAAUUCGGGGCUCAACCCCGUCCGGCCGUUGAAACUGGGGGCCUUGAGUGGGCGAGAAGAAGGCGGAAUGCGUGGUGUAGCGGUGAAAUGCAUAGAUAUCACGCAGAACCCCGAUUGCGAAGGCAGCCUUCCGGCGCCCUACUGACGCUGAGGCACGAAAGUGCGGGGAUCGAACAGG
RNAcentral lists this ribosomal RNA (252 nucleotides) under uncultured bacterium. RNAcentral describes it as "partial 16S ribosomal RNA". It matches the Rfam family "Bacterial small subunit ribosomal RNA", at positions 524 to 776 of the family's 1533-position model. The record is from RNAcentral.